CGCUGUCUGGUGGGGACUCACAAGACCGACGUCAAGAUGAUGCUUUCAAGGGCCAAACCUGCUGUAGGCAGAGGCGUACAGCACACUGACAAAAGAAAGAAGAAAGUUCAAACGUCAUGUUGGGGAAGAAGAAGAGGAUACUAAUUUGUGGAUUGGAUAUUGUGCCUUUCACCUGGGUGACUACAAGAGAGCUCUGGAGGAAUACGAAAAUGCUACAAAAGAGGAAAAUUGUAAUUCUGAAGUCUGGGUGAACCUAGCUUGCACCUACUUCUUUCUUGGGAUGUAUAAACAAGCUGAAGCAGCUGGAUUUAAAGCUUCAAAAAGCCGACUGCAAAACCGCCUCCUCUUCCACUUGGCUCACAAGUUUAAUGAUGAGAAAAAAUUGAUGAGCUUUCAUCAAAAUCUUCAGGAUGUCACAGAAGAUCAACUCAGUUUGGCCUCAAUCCACUAUAUGCGAUCUCACUACCAAGAAGCUAUAGAUAUAUAUAAGCGAAUACUGCUAGAUAACAGGGAAUACCUUGCCCUUAAUGUUUAUGUGGCCCUCUGCUACUAC
This 553-nucleotide small RNA is filed under the name Pan troglodytes (chimpanzee). Its description in RNAcentral is "processed transcript". The record is from RNAcentral. Lineage: Eukaryota; Metazoa; Chordata; Mammalia; Primates; Hominidae.